RNAcentral lists this transfer RNA (72 nucleotides) under Marmota monax (woodchuck). Its description in RNAcentral is "tRNA.Ala". It matches the Rfam family "tRNA". From Rfam's summary of the family: Transfer RNA (tRNA) molecules are approximately 80 nucleotides in length. Their secondary structure includes four short double-helical elements and three loops (D, anti-codon, and T loops). Further hydrogen bonds mediate the characteristic L-shaped molecular structure. tRNAs have two regions of fundamental functional importance: the anti-codon, which is responsible for specific mRNA codon recognition, and the 3' end, to which the tRNAs corresponding amino acid is attached (by aminoacyl-tRNA synthetases). tRNAs cope with the degeneracy of the genetic code in two manners: having more than one tRNA (with a specific anti-codon) for a particular amino acid; and 'wobble' base-pairing, i.e. permitting non-standard base-pairing at the 3rd anti-codon position. The record is from RNAcentral. Lineage: Eukaryota; Metazoa; Chordata; Mammalia; Rodentia; Sciuridae.
UGGGAUGUAGCUCAGCGGUAGAGUGUGCGCUUAGCAUGUGUAAGGCCUGGGGUUCAAUCCCCAGCACCAAAA